RNAcentral lists this ribosomal RNA (214 nucleotides) under uncultured bacterium. RNAcentral's name for it is "partial 16S ribosomal RNA". It matches the Rfam family "Bacterial small subunit ribosomal RNA", at positions 335 to 541 of the family's 1533-position model. The record is from RNAcentral.
ACUCCUACGGGAGGCAGCAGUGGGGAAUAUUGCACAAUGGGGGAAACCCUGAUGCAGCCAUGCCGCGUGUGUGAAGAAGGCCUUCGGGUUGUAAAGCACUUUCAGCGAGGAGGAAAGGUUGAUGCCUAAUACGUAUCAGCUGUGACGUUACUCGCAGAAGAAGCACCGGCUAACUCCGUGCCAGCAGCCGCGGUAAUACGGAGGGUGCAAGCGU